GACGAACGCUGGCGGCGUGCCUAAUACAUGCAAGUCGAACGCAGUGGGGACGGGUGAGUAACCCGUGGGUAACCUCCCAUCAGAGCGGAUAACACUUGGAAACAGGUGCUAAACCGACAAUGAUGGAUGGACGCGCGGUGCAUUAUCUAGUGGGUGGGGUAACGGCUGACCAAGGCCACGAUGCAUGGCCGAUCUGGGAGGGUGAUCGGCCACAAUGGGACUGAGACACGGCCCAGACUCCUACGGGAGGCAGCAGUAGGGAAUCUUCGGCAAUGGACGAAAGUCUGACCGAGCAACGCCGCGUGAGUGAAGAAGGUUUUCGGAUCGUAAAACUCUGUUGUUAGAGAAGCGGUAGCUAACCAGAAAGCCACGGCUAACUACGUGCCAGCAGCCGCGGUAAUUC
Molecule: ribosomal RNA, 403 nt
Filed under: uncultured bacterium
Lineage: Bacteria
Description: partial 16S ribosomal RNA
Rfam family: Bacterial small subunit ribosomal RNA
Source: RNAcentral